This 549-nucleotide ribosomal RNA is filed under the name uncultured Alphaproteobacteria bacterium. RNAcentral's name for it is "bacterial SSU rRNA". It matches the Rfam family "Bacterial small subunit ribosomal RNA", at positions 32 to 629 of the family's 1533-position model. The record is from RNAcentral. Lineage: Bacteria; Pseudomonadati; Pseudomonadota; Alphaproteobacteria.
AACGCUGGCGGCAGGCCUAACACAUGCAAGUCGAGCGCACCUUCGGGUGAGCGGCGGACGGGUUAGUAACGCGUGGGAACGUACCCUUUUCUACGGAAUAGCCUUUGGAAACGAAGAGUAAUACCGUAUACGCCCUUUGGGGGAAAGAUUUAUCGGAGAAGGAUCGGCCCGCGUUAGAUUAGGUAGUUGGUGGGGUAACGGCCUACCAAGUCUACGAUCUAUAGCUGGUUUUAGAGGAUGAUCAGCAACACUGGGACUGAGACACGGCCCAGACUCCUACGGGAGGCAGCAGUGGGGAAUCUUAGACAAUGGGCGCAAGUCUGAUCUAGCCAUGCCGCGUGAGUGAUGAAGGCCUUAGGGUCGUAAAGCUCUUUCGCCUGUGAUGAUAAUGACAGUAGCAGGUAAAGAAACCCCGGCUAACUCCGUGCCAGCAGCCGCGGUAAUACGGAGGGGGUUAGCGUUGUUCGGAAUUACUGGGCGUAAAGCGCACGUAGGCGGAUUGGAAAGUUGGGGGUGAAAUCCCGGGGCUCAACCCCGGAACUGCCUCCA